RNAcentral lists this ribosomal RNA (466 nucleotides) under uncultured bacterium. RNAcentral describes it as "partial 16S ribosomal RNA". It matches the Rfam family "Bacterial small subunit ribosomal RNA", at positions 28 to 507 of the family's 1533-position model. The record is from RNAcentral.
GAUGAACGCUGGCGGCGUGCUUAACACAUGCAAGUCGAACGAUGAAGCCCAGCUUGCUGGGUGGAUUAGUGGCGAACGGGUGAGUAACACGUGAGUAACCUGCCCUUAACUCUGGGAUAAGCCUGGGAAACUGGGUCUAAUACCGGAUAGGAGCGUCCACCGCAUGGUGGGUGUUGGAAAGAUUUAUCGGUUUUGGAUGGACUCGCGGCCUAUCAGCUUGUUGGUGAGGUAAUGGCUCACCAAGGCGACGACGGGUGGCCGGCCUGAGAGGGUGACCGGCCACACUGGGACUGAGACACGGCCCAGACUCCUACGGGAGGCAGCAGUGGGGAAUAUUGCACAAUGGGCGAAAGCCUGAUGCAGCGACGCCGCGUGAGGGAUGACGGCCUUCGGGUUGUAAACCUCUUUCAGUAGGGAAGAAGCGAAAGUGACGGUACCUACAGAAGAAGCACCGGCUAACUACGUG